GCCGGCCAGCUCAAGCUGACGUGCCCGAAGAACGACACGGCCAACACCACCGUCAACGACAUCCGGACGCCCAACGCCUUCGACAACAAGUACUACGUCGACCUGCAAAACCGCCAGGGCCUCUUCACCUCCGACCAGGACCUCUUCGUCAACGCCACCACCAGGCCGCUCGUCGCCGAGUUCGCCGUCGACCAGUCGGCGUUCUUCCACCAGUUCGUCUUCUCCGUCGUCAAGAUGGGCCAGAUCCAGGUGCUCACCGGCUCGCAGGGACAGAUCCGGGCAAACUGCUCCGUCCGCAACCCCGGCGCCGCCUCCGCCGACGAGGAGCUCCCGUGGUCCGCCGCCGUGGAGACCGUCGUCGAGGCGGCCGAGAGCAUCGUGCUCUAGACACACAAUUGUGCGCGCCAUGGACGCGUACGUCAGUACGUGUACCGUACGUUGAAUGUGGAAAGAGACGACGACGACUGUGGAUAUAUGUUGGUUACUGCCAUGUCGAAUAAAUGCAUGACGUCAUGACAACCUCCUUUAUGAUCAAUAUAUAUGGAUGUGGAUUUUCAUCUUGCAGGAAACAUCUUUUAUUGUUUGUAUGUUAUCUAAAUAGUUAUUAAAAAUUUAAAAAAUUAUAUAUAAUAACAUAGAUUAUUAUGAAAUAUAUCACUCCAUAAACAUACAAGACCGAAUUCAACUUCUACAAAUUGCAACAAAAAGAACAAAUUAAAUUGAACAUAGUUAUAUAUAUAUUCGCAGCUAUAUUUGUUAUUUUUGUUACAUUAUAGAAGUUGAAUUUAAACUUAAAUGUUUACGGAGUGAUAUAUAUUUCAUAUUAAUAUAUAUUGCCAAAAUUUUUUAUGAUUAUUUUAGGUGGAAUGCACGAAUCGAGAAGAUAUCCCUUGAGUGAUAAAACCACUUUCCCAAUGUAUAUUGCAGAUCACUUCUUUUAAUUAAUUUAAGCCAAAUUUAAGAUUUAAUUAAUUAGGUUGGAGUGGAGGCAGAAGUCACGCACCUGUAGACACACAUGACACAUGCGUUGAGUAUUAAGGCGUACAAUAUUUGUCGGCAACGAUAAUAGAUUAAUAAUUAAUUCAUAAGAUACCUGCAUAAAUAGACGUAUGUACGUAUAUACCAGAAAGAGAGAGAAACAACCUAGUGUCUGAAACUCUAAAGACAUACGUUUGCUGCAUACAUGACAAAAACAUCCCGAUGAUUACUUGAUCCUGAUUAGGCAAUGAUCAACACCAAUCAGUGAUCGAUCCUCGAUCAUCAGCAGAUAGCAAGCACAUGUCGAUUGUUGCUGGCAGCAAGCAAGCUAUAUAUAGUUUGUCACCCUCCAGGUCACAGAUUACUUCAACUGAAGAAGUAUCCGAAUUAACACCAAUAUAUCAAACAAAAUAAAGUAAAGUACAGUACUUUCCGUUUCAGAUUAUAAGACAUUGUAAUUUUGAUCAAAGUCAAAUUAUUUUAAAUUUGACUAAGUUUAUAGACAAUAAUAUUUAUAAUAGUAAAUUAGUUUCAUCAAAUCAAUAAUUUAAUAUAUUUUUAUAAUAAAUUUGUCUUGGGUUGAAAAUGCUACUAUUUUUUUAUAAACUUAAUCAAAGUUAAAGCAGUUUAACUUUAACUAAAAUCAAAAUGUUUUAUAACGGAGGUAGUAAUCAAUAAUUAAUCAGAUCGCCGGCGUCUUGUCUGCUGAUGGAUCAUACAGUAUAAUGGAAUGACGGAUGGUUCCUGUAGAUGGAAUGACGGAUGAGGCUUGUGCAACAGCGGCAUGCCAAGACGCACAAGACGAAGCCGCCAUGGUAGCCCGAGCUGUGGAGGGGAAACUAUUUCUUGAUCUUUCGAGGGAAGGGGAUAUCUCCUCGUUAUUUGCAUAUCACUUAAAUAAUCAGACGACAUCUAAACUAAGAAUCAUAUAUACAUAUCUAUCAGUCCAAUGGAUCAUCUACGAGAAGUCGUUGUUCAUCAGGAGCAGGAGGGUUGCCGUGGAGGGUAUACAGCAUGGCUUUUGUGCCGCAGCCGGAUGCCAUGAGGAAGAGGAAGAUGGCGAGGGCGAGGAGGAAGACGGCAAGGGCUCCAUGGUGGGAGCGGUAGUACUUCACCAUGAGGACGCCGACGCCGAUUGUCGUGACAGCUAGGCAGGCCAAGAAGGCCACCAGACCGUAGUCGUUGUCGAUCCCGACAUCCCGCUCCGCCAUGGCGGUGAAGUAGUAAUCGUCAUCGCCGUCGCCGCCGCCGUCGCCGCCAUAACCAUCGUAGUUAGGGUUCUCUAGAUCGCCCAUUAUUUAUUGUUCUUCGAUAAUAAUUAAUUCUGAUAUAUGCCUCUCUCUGCUAAUGUACUAGCUAGAGAUCACGAUCGAUGUAUGUGUGGUUGUUGAUUGGUACUAUUUGUUUGUGCGGAUUGCAAUUAGGUUCGAAUUAGGCUCGGAUUAUCUCGUUCAAUUCGGUCACGCAUGCAUACUCUAAGUAAAACAGUCACGGAUCGAUCGGGUACCAUAUAUGCUUAACCAUAUACCAAAUUAAAUAAAGGAGAAAUAUAAUUUCUACCAACACGGGUGUUAUCGUCUCCUGGCUGGGCUGCCCUCUCUCCCCUCUAUGGCACAUGGCUGCAUGAUUGGUGGCCAUCUUCUAGGGCUUGUUUACCUGAUCAUCUCCGUGCCAGCUUCGACUCCCUGGUCCUCCUAGUCUCAUGGCAACUGUGGAGGGAACGUAACUCCAGGGUCCUUGACUCUGUGCUCUCUUCGGUCGCAGUAGUCCUAGAGGUCAUCCUUUUGGAGGGCCGGCUGUGGUCGUUAGCGGCCGUCACUUACUUUGGGGAAUUGUUGGGAGCGUAGAGUGGCUCUGCUCCCUUCCGCUGUUUGGAGUAGAGCUUUUCGAGUUUUUUUUCCUUUCCUUUCUUUGUUUUUUAUCUUUGUUUUCUUCCUUACUUGGCAUAGGCCGGUCUGGCUGAGUGAGUCGUGUAUCAAAACUCUAUUCUUCUAAUAUAUUGACAUGCAAUUCUUUUGCGCGUUCGCGAAAAUAAUUUCUAGCAACAAUUAAUCAAUCAAAUAAGUAAAAUACCCUAUACCUCUGUUUUUAAAUAGAUGAAAUCGUUGACGUUGGGAAUACGUUUGACCAUUUUCAUCUAAUUCAAAAGAAGAUGGUUUUUCAUCCCUAGAUAUACCCUUUUAAUUGCAAAAAAAGGUUGAUAUACAUUAAUAAGAGAUAUUGACUUAAAAAAUAUAUAAUGAAACUACAAAUUGUAACAAGGUACUUUUAUAACAGAUAUAUCGCAUAAAAAAUAUAGAAGUUAAAUUUGACUUAUUUGUAACAAUAAAAAAAAUAAAUUAAACUAAAACUUGCUAAAACAUACAUCUAGAACUAUAUUUGUUCCUUUUGGUUAUAACUUAGUAGAAGUUUUCGCAAACCCGCAUUACACGUCAAUAUAUAUUAGAAGGAACUUAUAUAAGUCAAAUUAAGUUUUCGCAAACGUGCAAAAGGAUUACACGUCAAUAUAUAUUAGAAGGAACUUAUAUAUAAGUCAAAUUUUACUUAUAUAAUGUUCGUGGAAUGGUAUAUCAUAUAUUAAUAAUGGAUCAUCUACUACAGGAAGCCUGUAACAUUGUUCGAAGGGAGGGUGGCAAAUUGCACGACGAGGAAGCAACAGACGAAUGCCAAGAAGAAGAAGAAAAAGAAGCUGAGCACGAGGAGUAAGACGGCAUCCGCUCCGUGAUGGGACCCGUACGUGGUGGAAGUGCAGUGGAUGGCGUAGCAGACCACAAUGCAUGUAUUGAACACUCACGGAUCGAUCGAGUAUACUGAUCAUGUUUGAAUUCGGAAAAGAAACUUUCGUCAAAAUUUUCUAACUAGCAACACGAUUGCAAGAAUCGAUAUGAUAAAAAAAAAGACGUGUAUUUUAAAUUUAAAGUUUUAAUUUGUGAUCAUACGUGACAAACAGCGCCCUGUUUUCAUCACUGACGUAGCUAGCAACUAGCUUCCAUCCAAAGAAGAAUUAAGAGCUAGCCCAUAGAUUGAUUAAUUUGUUUACAUUGCAUAUGUACGUACAUUCAUGUAGUGCUGAAUUGAAGGUACGUUAAUCAUUCUCGAUCCCCUCAACUCCGUGCGGACUACUAAUCAACAUGCAUGGAAGUUGAUAUAUGAAAAAUUAAUCCUAAAGAGAGAAAUUUGACCUUGCCUAGCUAGCUUGUCAAGUCAAAUGAUCAUUCGUUUGCGAAGGAGGCAACGUAACGACUAACGACUAGCUAGGUAGCAUCUGCAACGUUUGUACGUACUACGUAGUACAUCGGAUCGUACGUACUGGCCGGCCGGUUUGGGUGAUCGAUGAACUCGAUCGCUCGAUCACACGCAACUGAUAAAAUAGAACAAUCGAUGGAAGCUACUAGCUCACAUUAUUGAGACAAAACGCAACACAGGUAGCAAUUUUUGCCAACCUUCAUACAGCUGCGCGAAAUGGAUGAUUUUGUAGGUAGUCGAUUGCGUUGACAUUUUGACAUCAUUUUGUAUAUGCGAAAAUGGAUUUUGUAGGUGCGAACGAGCAAACGCCUAUAAAUUGAUGAAGACACUCGCAUGCAAGCUCAUUCACCCCAACUCCAAGACACAAAAUUAAGCCGAUCGAGAUGGCGAGAAAAAUGAGCAGCACGUUGCAGGUUUUGGUCGUUUCCUGCUGCAGCUUGCUGCUUCUGUGUGCUCCGGCGGCCUCCGCCGGCGAUUACCCGCCGACGGCGAAGGGCUUGUCGUACGGUUUCUACCAGAGGAGCUGUCCCAAGGCGGAGACCAUCGUGAGGAGCUUCCUCAAGAAGGCCAUCCGCAACGACGUCGGCCUCGCCCCCGGCCUCAUCCGUCUCCACUUCCAUGACUGCUUCGUCCAGGCAAUUAACUAAUUGAUUAAAAUUAAUUGAUUAUACACCUAAUCAUGCAUAAUGCAUGUGCAAAAUGAUGAAAUUACGCCUCAAACAUGCUCUGAAUUUUGAAUUCUGGAUUGAACAGAUCGAUCGAUACUAUAUUUAAACACGCAUCUGUGACGGGUAAUUAUUCGCGAACCGCCACUAAUAAUUGUGCUGCGCUGUGCGUGCAGGGUUGCGACGCGUCGGUGCUGUUGGCGCGCACGGCGACGGAGGCGAGCGAGCUGGACGCUCCACCCAACGAGACCAUCCGCCCGUCGGCGUUGAUGGCCGUCGCCCAACUCCGCGCCCUGCUCGACGACGCGUGCAGCGGGGCCGUCGUCUCCUGCGCUGACAUCCUCACCCUCGCCGCGCGCGACUCCGUCCGCCUGGUCGGCGGGCCGGAGUACAGGGUCCCCCUGGGCCGGCGCGACGGCGCGACGAUCGCGGCGAGGGAGCGCGUCGUCGCCGCGUUCCCGCCGCCGAGCUCCAACGUGACGGCGCUCCUCGCCGCCGUGGCCAAGAUCGGCCUCGACGCCGCCGACCUCGUGGCGCUCUCCGGCGCGCACACGCUCGGCGUCUCCCGCUGCAUCUCCUUCGACGACCGCCUCUUCCCGCAGGUGGACGCCACCAUGGACGCGCGGUUCGCCGCCCACCUCAGGCUCUCCUGCCCGGCCAAGAACACCACCAACACCACCGCCAUCGACGUACGGACGCCCAACGCCUUCGACAACAAGUACUACGUCGACCUGCUCAGCCGGCAGGGGCUCCUGACCUCCGAUCAGGUGCUGUUCAGCGACGGCAGGACGAGGGGCCUCGUCGGCAGGUUCGCCGUCGACCAGCCGGAGUUCUUCCGCCGCUUCGCCUUCUCCAUGGUGAAGAUGUCGCAGAUCCAGGUGAUGACGGGAGUGCAGGGGGAGAUCCGCACCAACUGCUCGGUGCGCAACGCCGCCGGCGGUGGCACCUAGCUGGAGCUCAAUUACUCUUUGCUCCGAUGAAGAACUCGGAGCUUGCAUGUAGCACGUUUUACUCGGGGUGGAUUUUAAAUUUUUAAUCACUCGAGAGAAUAUUCUCUCGUGUAUCUUUUUCUUCUAAAUUCGAUACAAAUAAUUAUGAAAAAUUCUAAUAAAACUAGCGAAAUGCCCAUGCGUUGCACUGGGUGAAGACAAAAAUAAAUAGUAAUGGGCGUGUGGGAGCAUAAUGCCACCAGGUUAAUUGAGAUCCUUAUAGUCAAAUCGAAUCUUUUCGGUGCAAGUAAGACGCUAACAUGACAUAAUUAUUCGUUGCUCUAAAUCCAUUCACAUGGAUUAUAAGAAAGCUAUUAAUACCACUUUAAAAUGAAAUUAUGUAUUAUACAUACUAAAGUUUGAAACCCAAAAAGUAUUUAUUUUUGUCAUGUAUUAUUAUGAGUCGGUUGCAAUGCAUGGUUAUAUUUUUGUACUUGAUAUUGAUAAACACUUUUUUUUACAUACUGCAAGAGUAGUAAUAGUACAAGAAAUGUUUUUCGCUAGCUAUCAGAUAAAUCUCACUGUACUCCAAUUGCAUAAUCGCUUUCACUCAAAAAAUCAGAAGGAAAUCGUACGAUGAAUGGAAAGAAAAAAAAAAGUGGUGUAUCAUCUCACUCUAAAAAAAUUAGAACAAAAACAUACAACGAAUGAAAAAAAAUUGAUGUGGAUGAGGGAAAAAAUCUGGAUGUAAACACGAUUCAUUUUGUUGGUGACUACAUGUUUUUUUAAAAAACAAAGACACGUGAUUGUUUUCUAUUUUCUAAAAGUAAUUUAUUUUGUCAGUAAAUAAUUCAUUUUGUUGGUGGUUACAUGUUUUUUUAAAAAAGAAAGACAUGUGAUUUUUUUUUUACUUUCCCAAAAUAAUGAAAUUGUUCCUUUUUUUAAAUCCAAUUCCUAGUAGACACAGAUCCAAACACAAACUUUAUUUAGUGUUAAUAAUCUCAGGCAAGCCUCCUAUUUAGGUGGUAUUAUUCGUGCUACAGUGCUCGGUUACUACUAUAUCACGCAGAACUAUGUUGUGCUGGGCUGCUGCUUCUCUGCUCUGUAGGCUGGCUGCCGGGCUGCUCGCUAGGUUUCUCUUUUUUUUUUCCAUUCUCUUUUAUUUGCGGAGCUCAGAGAUCGUCGUAAUGCAUCCGGAUUCACGGAUUAGCGGCGAAAUAAUCACGUGGGCCCACCCUUUAAUGACGGAAGAAAAAAAUCAACCGAAAACCUUACUUAUUUUUUAAUUAGGUAUAGAUAUAGAUAUAGAUUUGACAAUGUAGAGUAUAGUGAUAUCUAUCGGUCCACCAAAAAUCAAGCUAAAAUUUGACAUACCCACUAAGAUUAAAAAAAGAGAGACAAAUUUUGUAUACAAUAUGCUACUAUUCAUAAGUUUGUCUUUUCUAUAUGUCGAUGUGUGAGUUGAGUUUGGAUCUAAAAUUUUGUGGAGUUGUAUAGAUAUGUUGUACGAACAUUAUCAAAUUUUAUAUAAUUUUUUUAUAACUGUUUGGAUGAUAUUUUUUUAAAAUAACCGUUUGGGUGGAUUAUAAAAUGCAGCUAGGCAGCUAGCAUCCAUCAAAAUAGUUUCCCCGCUUUAUGUACGCUCAUCGGUUGCUAGUCUGUUAAUGCUAGCUGCAUUUUAUAAUCCGCAUGUUAGUUCAGAGAUCAAACUUUGAUAUUUGAAGGAAUGAAUAAAAUAAAAUUUGUUUGGGAAUCGAUUGCUUAUGCACCCUGCGAAAAAGUGGCGGUUCAGCCUUCAAAAUUUUUUGGGCCUACUAACUUCGAUGGGCCGUUUUUUUUAGCCCAUGCAGAAGACAGAAGUGUAGGACAUUGACGUGACAACCUAACCAUGCACAUAUUGGAUGCAUGCGCAUAUUGGAUCACAUAGAUAUAUGCACAGACAGGGGUGGAUCCAACGUGGGUGCGGGGGGUUUCGAGUCCCCCCUACACCCACAAGGCCCAUGGAUACCUCCCAGAGCAUCCCCUUUAAUUUUUUUAAAAUGAAUGAUAAACUUAAGGCUUCUAAAUGGCUGGAGGUUGAACAAACUGUGUAAUUGAGCCCCCCUCCUCCCAAUUUUUGUUCUUGGAUCUGCCCCUGUGCACAGAGGAUGGAGUAUGUGAAGUGAAGGUCAAGAGUUCGUCAGGCAUAACCAAUUACGGCUGUGUUCGUUACUACUGGUUGGGAACAAAUCUCUUGGCACAUAAAAUGGAGCGGCUCAUUAGCAGCUACUCCCUCCAUUUCAGGUUAUAAGACAUUUUGAGUUUAGUGAAAGUCAAACUGCUUUAAGUUUGACCAAGUUUACAGAAAAAGUAGUAACAUUUUUAACCCAAGACAAAAUUAUUAUGAAAAUAUAUUCAAUUAUUGAUUUGAUGAAACUAAUUUAGUAUUAUCAAUAUUAAUAUAUUUGUCUAUAAACUUAAUCAAGCUUGAAAUAAUUUGACUUUGAGCAAAGUCAAAACGUCUUAUAACCUGAAUUGGAUGGAGCAUUUUUUUGAAAAAUAGAUUAAUAUGAUUUUUUAAGCAAUUUUCGUAUAGAAUUUUUUUGCAAAAAACACACCGUUUAGCGGUUUGAAAAGUGUAUGUGUAAAAAACGAAGAAGAUGAGUUGAGAAAGCUAGGAAAGAAGUCAGUCUAAGCUCGUCGGCAUAGCACUUAAUCUGCUUUACCUGAGUGGUGGCCGGUCCUGGCCUUGUACAAGGGGCUGACGGCCUGAGGCUGAACCCCGUGAAACACCACCACCUCUUCUUCAACAGUUCAACUCGAGCGGGGGCGAUGGAAAAAGCAAUAGCAGGGGACAUGAAUAUUCCAACUUUCCAGGACAUCUUUCUGAAUUCUGAUGGUGGUGGGCAAUGUGAGACUGAAAAAAAUCGAUAUGGGAGAGAGAGAGAGGUCAGAAAUGGAGAUGGAGGGGAUGAUAGGUGGAACCCACUCUAUUUUUUUUAAUGAUUGGGAUGUCACGUGAACACCAAGUCAACGAAAAACCGCUUUUAAAAACAGUUGAUGUAGUCAUUUUAAACGGUUUUGAUAGUUAGAGGGGUCGAUUUAUCUAGUUUUAUGGUUGAGGAAUAUGAAUCGGAUUCAAUUUAUAUUUGUGUGAGUAGUUAAAUUUGCUUGUGUUUUUCUUUCUUCAUCAGCUUAUUCUUAUUUUUCAAUGAUGAUAAACUGAUCAGCGUAGCCGCCGGCCCGUCGCCCACCCUUAAACAACGACAGCUAAUUUAUGCAUGCAUGGAUUCCGAUGGAGGAGCUGUGUGCACCACUCAUUCGUAAGACUUCUUUCGAAUAAUUCAACGGAAGAAGGUUGAACCAUUUGAAGCGAAUCACACAUUAUUGAUCUUUCUCUCCAAAGAAUCGUGCUAGCUCGUUGGAAAAAAGGGGAAAAAAAAACGGCGAGCCUAGCUAUAAUUCAAUUUGCGAGAUUACACAUAUGUGAAAAAUCGCCAAGUUAAGGGUUUUUCUUUAUACAUAACUAAAUUUGCUACUAAUCCUUAUAUAGCCGCCUAUGAGCAUUUGUGCAUUGUACUAUGCACCAACCUCCACUUGUAAAGUUUCAACCAAAAAGAAAAAAAAAGCCAUCCACUUGUGCUGCCAAUUUGCUCAAUCCCGACAAGCUCGCUCGAUCGUUCGCCGCAUCAGCCAGUCUCAGUCCGCUGCAAUUUGUUCGCGCAUGCGUUCAUAUAAUAGACCUAUCAUAGAUUUUUCGACGAUUCCAACGACCUCGUGGAAAAAUCGCAGAUGCACGCACCAAAUCCAUCAAUUUCAUCACGACACUCGCAAGUAGUGCGCGUCCGCUAUAAAAGCGAUGGAAAUCCUCGGAGGACGGCACACGGUUGAUCGAUCAGUACGAGUACGACGAGAGCUAAGUAAACUUAGCUAUAUCGAUCGACCAUGGCGUCCAGGACUAGUGCUACUGCCGGCAUGCUGCUGCUCGCCGCCGCGGCUGCGCUGGUGUGCAGCUCGGCGGCGGCGAGGAUGCCGCCGUUGGCGAAGGGGUUGUCGUUGGGCUACUACGACGCGAGUUGCCCGCAGGCGGAGGCCGUCGUGUUCGAGUUCCUGCAGGACGCCAUCGCCAAGGACGUCGGCCUCGCCGCGGCGCUGAUCCGGCUCCACUUCCACGACUGCUUCGUCCAGGGCUGCGACGCCUCCAUCCUGCUCGACAGCACACCCACCGAGAAGAGCGAGAAGUUGGCGCCGCCGAACAAGACCCUCCGCAAGUCGGCGUUCGACGCCAUCGACGAUCUCCGCGACCUGCUCGACAGGGAAUGCGGCGACACCGUCGUGUCCUGCUCCGACAUCGUCACCCUCGCCGCCCGCGACUCCGUCCUCCUCGCCGGUGGCCCGUGGUACGAUGUUCCCCUCGGCCGCCACGACGGCUCCAGUUUCGCGUCUGAGGACGCCGUCCUGAGCGCGCUCCCGUCGCCGGACUCCAACGUCACCACGCUCCUCGAAGCGCUGGGCAAGCUCAAGCUCGACGCCCACGACCUCGUCGCCCUCUCCGGCGCGCACACCGUCGGCAUCGCGCACUGCACUUCCUUCGACAAGCGCCUCUUCCCUCAAGUCGACCCCACCAUGGACAAGUGGUUCGCCGGCCACCUCAAGGUCACCUGCCCGGUGCUGAACACCAACGACACCACCGUCAACGACAUCCGGACGCCCAACACCUUCGACAACAAGUACUACGUCGACCUGCAAAACCGCCAGGGCCUCUUCACCUCCGACCAGGGCCUCUUCUUCAACGCAACCACCAAGCCGAUCGUCACCAAGUUCGCCGUCGACCAGUCGGCCUUCUUCGACCAGU
This 10652-nucleotide long non-coding RNA is filed under the name Oryza sativa (Asian cultivated rice). Its description in RNAcentral is "long non-coding RNA (OSAT_LNC001778)". Lineage: Eukaryota; Viridiplantae; Streptophyta; Magnoliopsida; Poales; Poaceae. The record is from RNAcentral.